GCUCCAGUAGCUCAGUUUGGUUUUAGAGCGCGACAUUGGUAAUGUCGAGGUCCCGAGUUCGAAUCUCGGCUGGAGCU
RNAcentral lists this transfer RNA (77 nucleotides) under archaeon. Its description in RNAcentral is "tRNA-Thr". It matches the Rfam family "tRNA". From Rfam's summary of the family: Transfer RNA (tRNA) molecules are approximately 80 nucleotides in length. Their secondary structure includes four short double-helical elements and three loops (D, anti-codon, and T loops). The record is from RNAcentral.